This 291-nucleotide long non-coding RNA is filed under the name Fukomys damarensis (Damara mole-rat). RNAcentral's name for it is "lncRNA (ENSFDAG00000024454.1)". The record is from RNAcentral. Lineage: Eukaryota; Metazoa; Chordata; Mammalia; Rodentia; Bathyergidae.
GUUCAUUGGCCUUAUGGGAAAACCAUUCUCCGGGAUAUUGGUGUCUCCACUUCUGAGAAGAUUUCCCUCUCGGCGGCUUCUGCGGCCACACAUGUUUCCGAUGAAUCCGCACUCAAAUGAAUUUCGGCCGACAAAUAACUCGAUACAGCUCUUUGGUGGGAGAGAAUUCCACGAGAAUGAGGUCACGGUUUGGCUACAGUAAAAUGAAAAAUAACCCAGCACCCGCCGCCUCCCAGCCUGGCAUCCACCCAAGGCAGUGCAUUCGGGAACCAUUAUCGGGUUUAUCGGGGU